Molecule: long non-coding RNA, 723 nt
Organism: Astatotilapia calliptera (eastern happy)
Lineage: Eukaryota; Metazoa; Chordata; Actinopteri; Cichliformes; Cichlidae
Source: Ensembl
UAGAAAAUCAAUUUAACUGAGUUCUCGGUUAUUUCUAUAAUCAGUUAACACUGAGUCUGAGCAAAACAAAACUCAUACUAUUCAGGAGUCUGAUAAAUAACAAAGAAUUAUAAAAGUAAUUAUGUUGAGGUUCAUUAAAAGUAACUCGUUAAAUGUACAUAUGUUUUGAAAUCUCAUGUUGUUAUCUGGCUGUGCCAUUACCAUGGUGACGUGGAUGCCAUGGCAGGAAAUACUUGGUGGACGCUUCUCCUUAUAUGUUCACUUUAAAAAAAAAAAAAAAUUGCAGCUCGACGCUCCUAUUAAAAUAGAGGACGUUUUUGGCUCAAUCAAGUGUAUGCGAGCGGUAAGGCCCCAGGCUCAGACAGAUUUCCAGCUGAGUUGUUAAAAAAAUUUAAAGACAAGCUAGCCCCUCUCCUUCUUGAUCUAUAUAAUGAAUCACUGAGAAAAGGCUGGCUGCCCCCCACUUUAACGAAGGCAUCUAUUUCAGUUUUACUGAAGAAAGGCAAAGAGCCUCAAUCAAUGCCAAGUCCUACAGGCCCCUUCUCUAUUUGCAAAUUAGACUGUGUCUCAUCACUGUUUCCAAAUUCCCCAAUUCUCCCUGCUGAUCCAUCAUGGGUUGACCUUCUGGCUGUUACGCCUAAUCAAAAAUCACCUCUAUCAAAUAUAUAUUGUAUGCUUAUGGUGACCGAAUCUAAUCCAUCAGGUAAAAUCACAACCGCCUGG